GACAGAGGAUGCAAGCGUUAUCCGGAAUGAUUGGGCGUAAAGCGUCUGUAGGUGGCUUUUCAAGUCCGCCGUCAAAUCCCAGGGCUCAACCCUGGACAGGCGGUGGAAACUACCAAGCUGGAGUACGGUAGGGGCAGAGGGAAUUCCGGGUGUAGCGGUGGAAUGCGUAGAGAUCCGGAAGAACACCGGUGGCGAAGGCGGUCUGCUGGGCAGUUGCUGACACUGAGGCGCGACAGCGUGGGGAGCAAACAGG
RNAcentral lists this ribosomal RNA (253 nucleotides) under uncultured bacterium. RNAcentral's name for it is "partial 16S ribosomal RNA". It matches the Rfam family "Bacterial small subunit ribosomal RNA", at positions 524 to 776 of the family's 1533-position model. The record is from RNAcentral.